Loxodonta africana (African savanna elephant) is the source of this 2259-nucleotide long non-coding RNA. RefSeq lists it as uncharacterized. The transcript has 2 exons. NCBI's taxonomy places the organism in Eukaryota, Metazoa, Chordata, Mammalia, Proboscidea, Elephantidae. The record is from RefSeq and is a predicted model, not a curated record.
UGUUGAAUUGGUGUAUGUUUUGCUGUGUAUAUUCUCAACAACAGCAAAAUAAGUAAAAUUUUAAAAAAUGAUGGGGAGAGCAGAAACAAAGAUAAUUCAACAAUUGUUUUAAUCAAGGUACCAUAAAUAACAUUAGCCCACUAUAAUCAUUAAAAAAUAAGUUUCUAAUAAAAUAUUAGUUUACAGUUUAAAAAAAAGUGACAAAAAUUCUUAGGAUUUUCUGAAAAUUCAAAAUAUAGUUGAGUACCUAUGUUUCCUUUUAUAAAAUAUUCUUGAAAUAUUUACUGUAAAACAGAAGAAAAUAAAUCUGAUAGAAAGUUUAAUAAUAACUAUUGUCAAUAUUGCCCUGAAAGCAAUUAGUAUCUGAGUGUUUGAAGCAAUCCUAGUCAUGUGGUUACAUUAACUAUCUUCCCAUGAAACAAAAAUUACAGAAAUAGACUAAAUAAUAUACAACAAGCUAAAAUUACUAUAUCUCAGAAUUUCCAAAUUAGAAUGGAUGAACACAACUGUAGAAUGAGAGUGUGGUGAAAUGAGUUCCUAAAAUGGCCUUUUGCCUUAGUCAUUUUUCCCCUAAACCCUGAGGCAUUACCUUUGUUCUAGUUUUCUACCCCACAGGGUUUGUUGCUUUUGUCCAGGUUGACUGAUAUUUCCUGGGUAAUCUAUAAACAACUUGUGGUUUGAUACUUCCUGUCUGGUAUGCACCUUGCAGGGAUUGGCCAAUGGACUAUGCAAAUUAUGGCCUACAAUGCAAAUGAAGUAUCUGUGGCCUACCAAGAGGGGAUUGGUCAGUUUGUGCCCCCCCCCAAAGUGGGAGGGGCCAUCCCUUGAAACUGACAAGGAGUUGUGUAUAUACGUAUAGUCAACCCCACAGAAGUUUUUCAGACAGGAAGAAGCAGAAAGGAGAAAAGGCAAGAGAGAAGAGAGAAAGGAGGCAAGGAACCUCUCAAACAGGCUAUAACAUUAGAGACAAUGACAGGCCCGGAGGAGGCCCAGUAGCAGAACUGGUGGUGACAGGCCAGGAAGGGAUCUUGAGGCACAGUCAGUGGUGACAGAUGGCAGGGCCAACAGGAGCCUGCCCUGAGGGGACUGAGAGGAGGCCUGCGCUGCCAAGAAGAGCUGAAAGGGCUGUCCUGCACUGAAGGGAGACUUUGCCUACACGCUUCCUGAUCCUGAGUCAUACUCCGUUACUUCCUUAAUAAACCACUUAAAAGAAUUUGGAGACAUCCAGGAACACAUGAACGGGAAAGAGAGAAAACCAAGAACACAGCAACCCAAACUUCAAAAAAGAAGCAGUCAGGAAUCUGGAAAUAGCUUUUGUAAAAUAAAUCUACUCAACUCACUACUGUUGAAAGCAAAACGGGGCUGCUAGGAUGUUCCAUCGGUCUCUGAGUAGCUUAGGAGCUAAAAACAAAAACUGGCACUGAAGAAAUAGCAUCGCCCACCCCAGUGACUUGGCAUUGGAAAUUGUGAAAAUAAUCACUCCACACCCAAAUCCAACGAUGACUCUAUUUUCAAAAUGAAAAGUGGAAUUAUCCUCGCCAAAGUGAAACUGUUAAUGACAUGCAAGGACUGCCAGAAGUCAGUCAAACACUUUUCUGUGCCUGUGUGCUGUGUGCUAGCUAGCCUUAAAAUCCUGGGUGUAAGGCUGAUAAAUUGUGGGGUUCUCAUUAUUCACCACCACUUCCCAACCUAAAACACCAAUAUAAGUCAUUUCAGUUUUUUGAGCUGCCAGGUUGAUAUGAAUGAGGUGCUCACCCAAAAACAGAAAUGAGCAUGAAUACCACAGAUUUGCUAAACUCUUAUAGAUUUAAAACUCACAUGCUUAUAAGAAUUGAUGUAAAAAUCCUGAAUAAAAUAUUAGCAAACAGACAGUCAUACCACAUUAACAAAAUAAACCAUGACAAGGGGGUUUGUGCCAGAAAUUCAAGGAUGGCUAAAAAUCAGAAAAUCUACCAAUAAAAUCUAGCAUAUCACUAGGUCUGAGGAGAAAAAGAUACCGCAUCUUUACGCAAAUAACGUGCAUGUUAUACAUUUUUUGCCAGCCACACAAUGCUACAUGCACUAUGUGUAUCAGCGUGUUAUUUACAUGGGCAUGUUAUUUGUGAAAAACACGGUGAUUAUUUCAACAGACGCUAAAAAAGCCUUUGAAAAGAACCAAAACACAUUCCUAACAAAAGCUCUUGGGGAAAAAAAAAAAACAGAAAUGGAAGAGUAUUUCUCCAGUGUGAUAAAAUAUAUAAAUCUUCAUCCUAAAGCCAG